RNAcentral lists this non-coding RNA (126 nucleotides) under Karenia brevis. Lineage: Eukaryota; Dinophyceae; Gymnodiniales; Kareniaceae. The record is from RNAcentral.
CAGGUUAAAUUCUUCGACGCCCACAGCCUUCCAAGUAUUGUGAGAGGCUGUUGAAUUUCCGCUGCCAUGUUGUGAAUCUUGUCAGCUCCUGAGGCCAGCUGCCUGAAUCUGUUGAUUGCAUAUGGC